ACAUGCACACUGUCAGGGCUAGCCUUCCUGCUUACGCGCGCUGCGGAUUGUUGCUCCGUUGUACCUGCUGGGGAAUUCACCUCGUUACUGCUUGAUAUCUUCCACCCCUUACAAAAUCAGUAAAGUUGUGUUUUCUAAUACCAAAGAGGAGGUUUGGCUUUCUGUGGGUGAUUCCCAGACACUGAAGUGCAAAGAAGAGACCCUCCUAGAAAAGUAAAAUAUGACUAAAAGCAAUGGAGAAGAGCCCAAGAUGGGCGGCAGGAUGGAGAGAUUCCAGCAGGGAGUCCGUAAACGCACACUUUUGGCCAAGAAGAAAGUGCAGAACAUUACAAAGGAGGAUGUUAAAAGUUACCUGUUUCGGAAUGCUUUUGUGCUGCUCACUGUCACCGCUGUCAUUGUGGGUGAGUCAUUUGAUUAAAAACAAAAAAACCUGUAUCUUGUUUCUCUGGGGCAUCUGGCUGCCCAGGGAAUAUUAUCAGAUGAACUAGUUGUAGGUAUCAAAAUGAUAGCCUAGGCUUUCCUCUGAUCUUGAUGAUUUUUCUCUAUAAAAAUGACUGUUAUGGCAUGUUUGGAGCAAUAUAUAGUAAACACAUCAUUAGGCAUCAUUAGGCAUUAUGCAAAUCAAUUGUGUGAGGAAGAAAAAUAAAUAAAAUAUUUUCCCAUUUCAUGUAAGGAUAAGGAAGUGAUCAUUUAAUCAUUAGGCAUGACAAAGCAAGCAUGCUAGAUUUGGCCAAAAUGUAAUUAUAUACAAUGUCAGUUGCACUUAAAACUAAUUUAUACAAUUAGUACACCUAAAAUGAGAUGUUGGUUCCGAAUAGUAAUUAUAUUCUAACUGGUGCUGACUUGAAGCUGAGUAUCAACACUUAGACACAGAGACCGAAUCUUUUAUGUGUUUGCACUUUGUCACCCAGCAACUGGGAAAGGUAGAUUGGGGAAAAUGUUAACACAGAUCUCUUUCAUUCAUUGCUUUGCAGAGCCUGCCGUAACCAGCUAUACCUUUUUUUGAAUCAUUUCCAUCUCUUACUAAUUUAGCAGGGUUGACAGCAAUCUGUACUAAUACAAUAUUAUUGUUUUGUUUUGUUUAUUGAUCUUAAAA
This 1096-nucleotide small RNA is filed under the name Pongo abelii (Sumatran orangutan). Its description in RNAcentral is "retained intron". The record is from RNAcentral. Lineage: Eukaryota; Metazoa; Chordata; Mammalia; Primates; Hominidae.